GAUGAACGCUGGCGGCGUGCCUAAUACAUGCAAGUCGAGCGAACAGACGAGGAGCUUGCUCCUGUGACGUUAGCGGCGGACGGGUGAGUAACACGUGGAUAACCUACCUAUAAGACUGGGAUAACUUCGGGAAACCGGAGCUAAUACCGGAUAACAUGUUGAACCGCAUGGUUCAACAGUGAAAGACGGUCUUGCUGUCACUUAUAGAUGGAUCCGCGCCGCAUUAGCUAGUUGGUAAGGUAACGGCUUACCAAGGCAACGAUGCGUAGCCGACCUGAGAGGGUGAUCGGCCACACUGGAACUGAGACACGGUCCAGACUCCUACGGGAGGCAGCAGUAGGGAAUCUUCCGCAAUGGGCGAAAGCCUGACGGAGCAACGCCGCGUGAGUGAAGAAGGUCUUCGGAUCGUAAAACUCUGUUAUUAGGGAAGAACAAAUGUGUAAGUAACUAUGCACGUCUUGACGGUACCUAAUCAGAAAGCCACGGCUAACUACGUG
This 497-nucleotide ribosomal RNA is filed under the name uncultured bacterium. RNAcentral's name for it is "partial 16S ribosomal RNA". It matches the Rfam family "Bacterial small subunit ribosomal RNA", at positions 28 to 507 of the family's 1533-position model. The record is from RNAcentral.